GAUGAACGCUGGCGGCGUGCCUAAUACAUGCAAGUCGACCGAACGGACGAGAAGCUUGCUUCUCUGAUGUUAGCGGCGGACGGGUGAGUAACACGUGGAUAACCUACCUAUAAGACUGGGAUAACUUCGGGAAACCGGAGCUAAUACCGGAUAAUAUUUUGAACCGCAUGGUUCAAAAGUGAAAGACGGUCUUGCUGUCACUUAUAGAUGGAUCCGCGCUGCAUUAGCUAGUUGGUAAGGUAACGGCUUACCAAGGCAACGAUGCAUAGCCGACCUGAGAGGGUGAUCGGCCACACUGGAACUGAGACACGGUCCAGACUCCUACGGGAGGCAGCAGUAGGGAAUCUUCCGCAAUGGGCGAAAGCCUGACGGAGCAACGCCGCGUGAGUGAUGAAGGUCUUCGGAUCGUAAAACUCUGUUAUUAGGGAAGAACAUAUGUGUAAGUAACUGUGCACAUCUUGACGGUACCUAAUCAGAAAGCCACGGCUAACUACGUG
RNAcentral lists this ribosomal RNA (497 nucleotides) under uncultured bacterium. RNAcentral's name for it is "partial 16S ribosomal RNA". It matches the Rfam family "Bacterial small subunit ribosomal RNA", at positions 28 to 507 of the family's 1533-position model. The record is from RNAcentral.